GGGGAUAUAACUCAGUGGUAGAGCAUUUGACUGCAGAUCAAGAGGUCCCCGGUUCAAAUCGGGGUGCCGCCU
Molecule: non-coding RNA, 72 nt
Organism: Danio rerio (zebrafish)
Lineage: Eukaryota; Metazoa; Chordata; Actinopteri; Cypriniformes; Danionidae
Source: Rfam